AUUGAACGCUGGCGGAAUGCUUUACACAUGCAAGUCGAACGGCAGCACGGGGGCAACCCUGGUGGCGAGUGGCGUACGGGUGAGUAAUACAUCGGAACGUGCCCGGUCGUGGGGGAUAACGUAGCGAAAGUUACGCUAAUACCGCAUACGAUCUGAGGAUGAAAGCGGGGGACCUUCGGGCCUCGCGCGAUCGGAGCGGCCGAUGUCAGAUUAGGUAGUUGGUGGGGUAAAGGCCUACCAAGCCGACGAUCUGUAGCUGGUCUGAGAGGACGACCAGCCACAGUGGAGGUGGACCGGCGCCCAGGGUCCUGCGGGAGGGAGCAGUGGGGAAUUUGGGACAAUGGGCGCAAGCCUGAUCCAGCCAUCCCGCGUGAAGGACAGAGGCCUUGGGGUUGUAAUGUCGUUUUUUGGGGAGAAAAAAGCUUUGGCCUAAUACGUGGGGCUAAUGACGGUACCGUAUAAAGAAGCACCGGCUAACUACGUG
RNAcentral lists this ribosomal RNA (484 nucleotides) under uncultured bacterium. Its description in RNAcentral is "partial 16S ribosomal RNA". It matches the Rfam family "Bacterial small subunit ribosomal RNA", at positions 29 to 507 of the family's 1533-position model. The record is from RNAcentral.